AGCGAACGCUGGCGGCAGGCCUAACACAUGCAAGUCGAACGAACUCUUCGGAGUUAGUGGCGGACGGGUGAGUAACACGUGGGAACGUGCCUUUAGGUUCGGAAUAACUCAGGGAAACUUGUGCUAAUACCGAAUGUGCCCUUCGGGGGAAAGAUUUAUCGCCUUUAGAGCGGCCCGCGUCUGAUUAGCUAGUUGGUGAGGUAAAGGCUCACCAAGGCGACGAUCAGUAGCUGGUCUGAGAGGAUGAUCAGCCACAUUGGGACUGAGACACGGCCCAAACUCCUACGGGAGGCAGCAGUGGGGAAUCUUGAGCAAUGGGCGAAAGCCUGAAGCAGCCAUGCCGCGUGAAUGAUGAAGGUCUUAGGAUUGUAAAAUUCUUUCACCGGGGAAGAUAAUGACGGUACACGGAGAAGAAGCCCCGGCUAAAUACGUG
This 433-nucleotide ribosomal RNA is filed under the name uncultured bacterium. Its description in RNAcentral is "partial 16S ribosomal RNA". It matches the Rfam family "Bacterial small subunit ribosomal RNA", at positions 29 to 507 of the family's 1533-position model. The record is from RNAcentral.